UACAGGGGGUGCUAGCGUUGUUCGGAUUUACUGGGCGUAAAGGGCGCGUAGGCGGCUUAACAAGUCACUUGUGAAAUCUCCGGGCUUAACUCGGAACGGCCAAGUGAAACUGUCAAGCUAGAGUGCAGAAGGGGCAAUCGGAAUUCUUGGUGUAGCGGUGAAAUGCGUAGAUAUCAAGAGGAACACCUGAGGUGAAGACGGGUUGCUGGGCUGACACUGACGCUGAGGCGCGAAAGCCAGGGGAGCAAACGGG
RNAcentral lists this ribosomal RNA (253 nucleotides) under uncultured bacterium. RNAcentral describes it as "partial 16S ribosomal RNA". It matches the Rfam family "Bacterial small subunit ribosomal RNA", at positions 524 to 776 of the family's 1533-position model. The record is from RNAcentral.